AAAACACGGGAUACCUCAGUAACGGCGAGUGAACCGGUAACAGCUCAAAUUUGAAAUCUGGCUCUUUCAGGGUCCGAGUUGUAAUUUGUAGAAGAUGCUUCGGGUGUAGCUCCGGUCUAAGUUCCUNGGAACAGGACGUCAUAGAGGGUGAGAAUCCCGUAUGUGACUGGGUGCUUUCGCUCAUGUGAAGCUCUUUCGACGAGUCGAGUUGUUUGGGAAUGCAGCUCAAAAUGGGUGGUAAAUUUCAUCUAAAGCUAAAUAUUGGCCAGAGACCGAUAGCGCACAAGUAGAGUGAUCGAAAGAUGAAAAGCACUUUGGAAAGAGAGUUAAACAGUACGUGAAAUUGUUGAAAGGGAAGCGCUUGCAACCAGACUUGCAUGCGGUCGAUCAUCCAGGGUUCUCCCCGGUGCACUCGAUCGCGUUCAGGCCAGCAUCGGUUUCGGUGGUUGGAUAAAGGCCUUGGGAAUGUGGCUCUCUUCGGGGAGUGUUAUAGCCCAAGGUGCAAUGCAGCCUACCGGGACCGAGGACCGCGCUUCGGCUAGGAUGCUGGCGUAAUGGUUGUAAGCGACCCGUCUUGAAACACGGACCAAGGAGUCUAACAUCUAUGCGAGUGUUUGGGUGUCAAACCCAUACGCGUAAUGAAAGUGAACGGAGGUGAGAACCCUUAAGGGUGCAUCAUCGACCGAUCCUGAUGUCUUCGGAUGGAUUUGAGUAAGA
Molecule: ribosomal RNA, 717 nt
Filed under: uncultured fungus
Lineage: Eukaryota; Fungi
Description: LSU rRNA
Rfam family: Eukaryotic large subunit ribosomal RNA
Source: RNAcentral